CAGGGUGUGGGGGGCAGGCGGUGGACUGACCCUCACGAAGGCCCUGUUCCAGCUCGGCCCAGGCAUGGGGAGGACCCGCACUCAGCUCUGGCCUGUGGCUGGAUGCCCUGGGCCGGCAGCAAGAUGGUCCGGAGCUCAGGGAGAGGUCAAGUGGGACGGAUGCGGGGGUGAUCAGGGCACAGUGGAAAGCAGACACCAUGAGAGGAGGCAGUCACAUGUCCCAGGAGGGGGUGAUAAGGGACUGAGCGGAGACUCAGGACUAAAUGAGAACCCCAGGUUGAUGCCGGCGGGGCCUACGGAUGGACAGACUGGUGAGCAACUGCACCCCCGCGAGCUGCUUUUGGAACCCAGCAGAACCCUGUACCCCUCCUUCCCCUGACACACACAGACAAAGGCCCCUCCACACCCCCUGCCUCUCUCUGUAGAAAAGCUGAGUCUCCCAGGCCUCCCAGAGUCACAAAGGAGUAGUUCCAGCAGCUAAUGACUACUACAUAGUCAUGGACUCAGUGUUGACACAUGACUAAAAUCGUCAGCAAAGAGAUGCUACACACCCAGGUCAAUAGCUUCCACUCUGAGAGUAUGGCGCCCUCUGUCAACAUGCAGGGCUUCCCUGACAGCUCAGUUGGUAAAGAAUCCACCUGCAAUGCAGGAGACCCUGGAUACUCACUAAAGGGGCAGGGGAUGGCCGGGGGUCGGGUCACUUGCCCACAGCCUGUCAUGUCCACUCCCUCCGCCCUCCCUCCCAACCCACAUGCUCUAUCUCCGCCCCACCCCAAAUAAUGCCCACCAACCCUGUCCCCACCCCGCCCCACCACACACAAACACACACAGAGCUGUCCUGACUCACAUGCAGCUGAAGGGCGCUGUCCACGGUGCUGACUUUCAGCUGCCUGGCCCUGCCUCGUGUGGCCUCAGGAAGCGCCCAUGGGAACUUCUGCCUGUUUGGAAAUAAAUCACCUGCUUGGGAACUUACCUCAAACACAAGAACUGCGACAGAGAGAGGAGAGGUCUGGCCCUGCUGAGCUCCUGCCACGGGGACACCACUUCUCCUUGCCCUCCCCUGCUGGGCCAGGCAGUGGGGAGGGGGCCCAGCAGCCGGGGCUCCAUGUGAGCAGCCUGCCGCCUUGCAUGCCUGGGAGGCUCUCAUGGUCCUCAACCCUCGGAUUCCUCUGUGCACAGAGCUCCCCAGACAAGAUGGUCCUUCAGUUCUCACCGUCUGCGUCCUUAUGGGAUUCCUUCAACAACUUCACUACUGAAUGUUCGCGGUUUUACCUCGAGUUUUCCCCCAAUCUGUCUCUACAUCUUGGCGGGGCAGUGAUCGCCCUGGCUGUCCCCACUGUGCUACAAGCAGCAAGCAUGGCCUGA
RNAcentral lists this long non-coding RNA (1365 nucleotides) under Capra hircus (goat). Its description in RNAcentral is "lncRNA (ENSCHIG00010004721.1)". The record is from RNAcentral. Lineage: Eukaryota; Metazoa; Chordata; Mammalia; Artiodactyla; Bovidae.